This 494-nucleotide ribosomal RNA is filed under the name uncultured bacterium. RNAcentral's name for it is "partial 16S ribosomal RNA". It matches the Rfam family "Bacterial small subunit ribosomal RNA", at positions 28 to 506 of the family's 1533-position model. The record is from RNAcentral.
GACGAACGCUGGCGGCGUGCCUAAUACAUGCAAGUAGAACGCUGAAGGAGGAGCUUGCUUCUCUGGAUGAGUUGCGAACGGGUGAGUAACGCGUAGGUAACCUGCCUGGUAGCGGGGGAUAACUAUUGGAAACGAUAGCUAAUACCGCACAAUAGCAGUUGUUGCAUGACAACUGUUUGAAAGGUGCAAUUGCACCACUACCAGAUGGACCUGCGUUGUAUUAGCUAGUUGGUGGGGUAACGGCUCACCAAGGCGACGAUACAUAGCCGACCUGAGAGGGUGAUCGGCCACACUGGGACUGAGACACGGCCCAGACUCCUACGGGAGGCAGCAGUAGGGAAUCUUCGGCAAUGGACGGAAGUCUGACCGAGCAACGCCGCGUGAGUGAAGAAGGUUUUCGGAUCGUAAAGCUCUGUUGUAAGAGAAGAACGAGUGUGAGAGUGGAAAGUUCACACUGUGACGGUAUCUUACCAGAAAGGGACGGCUAACUACGU